RNAcentral lists this ribosomal RNA (440 nucleotides) under uncultured bacterium. Its description in RNAcentral is "partial 16S ribosomal RNA". It matches the Rfam family "Bacterial small subunit ribosomal RNA", at positions 338 to 795 of the family's 1533-position model. The record is from RNAcentral.
CCUACGGGAGGCAGCAGUGGGGGAUAUUGCACAAUGGGGGAAACCCUGAUGCAGCGACGCCGCGUGGGUGAAGAAGCGCCUCGGCGCGUAAAGCCCUGUCAGCAGGGAAGAAAAUGACGGUACCUGAAGAAGAAGCCCCGGCUAACUACGUGCCAGCAGCCGCGGUAAUACGUAGGGGGCAAGCGUGAUCCGGAUUUACUGGGUGUAAAGGGGGCGCAGGCGGGGAUGCAAGCCAGGAGUGAAAGCCCGGGGCCCAACCCCGGGACUGCUCUUGGAACUGCGUGGCUAGAGUGCAGGAGGGGCAGGCGGAAUUCCUGGUGUAGCGGUGAAAUGCGUAGAUAUCAGGAGGAACACCGGUGGCGAAGGCGGCCUGCUGGACUGCAACUGACGUUGAGGCCCGAAAGCGUGGGGAGCAAACAGGAUUAGAUACCCCUGUAGUC